UUUAAUUCGAUGCAACGCGAAGAACCUUACCUACUCUUGACAUCCAGAGAACUUAGCAGAGAUGCUUUGGUGCCUUCGGGAACUCUGAGACAGGUGCUGCAUGGCUGUCGUCAGCUCGUGUUGUGAAAUGUUGGGUUAAGUCCCGCAACGAGCGCAACCCUUAUCCUUUGUUGCCAGCGGUUCGGCCGGGAACUCAAAGGAGACUGCCAGUGAUAAACUGGAGGAAGGUGGGGAUGACGUCAAGUCAUCAUGGCCCUUACGAGUAGGGCUACACACGUGCUACAAUGGCAUAUACAAAGAGAAGCGACCUCGCGAGAGCAAGCGGACCUCACAAAGUAUGUCGUAGUCCGGAUCGGAGUCUGCAACUCGACUCCGUGAAGUCGGAAUCGCUAGUAAUCGUAGAUCAGAAUGCUACGGUGAAUACGUUCCCGGGCCUUGUACACACCGCCCGUCACACCAUGGGAGUGGGUUGCAAAAGAAGUAG
RNAcentral lists this ribosomal RNA (484 nucleotides) under Enterobacter sp. W_4.1b. RNAcentral's name for it is "bacterial SSU rRNA". It matches the Rfam family "Bacterial small subunit ribosomal RNA", at positions 945 to 1429 of the family's 1533-position model. The record is from RNAcentral. Lineage: Bacteria; Pseudomonadati; Pseudomonadota; Gammaproteobacteria; Enterobacterales; Enterobacteriaceae.